AUGACUACCCGCUUCUCUCACAUCAUCAGAGAUCAUUCCCUACAUUUUAUUGGCAUUCAAGAAACUAAGAAGAAGAAUUUUAGUCCUAAACACUUAAGGAAAACUGACCCCUUUGACAAAUUUAGUUGGAACUGGAUCCCUUCAACUGGCAAAUCGGGUGAAAUUUUGUGUGCGAUCAAAAAACAAUCCAUGGAAAUUAUUUCCUGGUCAGUAGGUAACUAUUUGUUACAUGCUACGAUGUUUGAUGUGAAUCUCAAAUGUGUUUCGAACCUUGUAGUGGUUUAUGGGGCAGCCCAUGAUGAUAGAAAAGAUGAUUUCCUCACGGAGUUAGCCUCGUUUUGUGCUAAUAUUUGAAUUCCCUAUGUGAUUGGUGGUGUCUUUAAUAUCCUGUGGGAGAGUAGUGACAAGAAUAAAAACUUAACCCACUCCCAAUACAUAGAUAGAUUUAAUUCUACCAUCCACUCUCUGAAUCUUUGAGAGAUUCACAUGGGAGGGGGGAGGUACACCUGGACCAAUAAAGAUAAACCUACUCUAGAGAAACUAGAUAGAGUUCUCAUGAGUUUUGAUUGGGAAGAUCUAUUUCCACUAGUUGUUGUUCGCAAGCUAUUGAUAGACCUCUCAGACCACAAUCCCUUGAUGUUAUCCUCGAACCCAGUGAAAAAAGCCCCCUACAUCAUCGUGACUUUAGGUUUGAGUUGA
Molecule: ribosomal RNA, 699 nt
Filed under: Triticum aestivum (bread wheat)
Lineage: Eukaryota; Viridiplantae; Streptophyta; Magnoliopsida; Poales; Poaceae
Description: partial small subunit ribosomal RNA
Source: RNAcentral